RNAcentral lists this transfer RNA (77 nucleotides) under Vitreoscilla sp. RNAcentral describes it as "tRNA-Val". It matches the Rfam family "tRNA". From Rfam's summary of the family: Transfer RNA (tRNA) molecules are approximately 80 nucleotides in length. Their secondary structure includes four short double-helical elements and three loops (D, anti-codon, and T loops). RNAcentral also lists the same sequence under 1361 other names. The record is from RNAcentral. Lineage: Bacteria; Pseudomonadati; Pseudomonadota; Betaproteobacteria; Neisseriales; Neisseriaceae.
AGGCGCGUAGCUCAGCUGGUUAGAGCACCACCUUGACAUGGUGGGGGUCGUUGGUUCGAGUCCAAUCGCGCCUACCA